Molecule: ribosomal RNA, 338 nt
Filed under: uncultured bacterium
Lineage: Bacteria
Description: bacterial SSU rRNA
Rfam family: Bacterial small subunit ribosomal RNA
Source: RNAcentral
GACGAAAGCUGCGCUAAUACCGCAUACCGCCCUGGAAGGGGAAAGCGGGGGACCGCAAGGCCUCGCGCGAUUAGAGCGGCCGAUAUCUGAUUAGCUUGUUGGUGGGGUAAAAGCCCACCAAGGCGACGAUCAGUAGCUGGUCUGAGAGGACGAUCAGCCACACUGGGACUGAGACACGGCCCAGACUCCUACGGGAGGCAGCAGUGGGGAAUAUUGGACAAUGGGCGAAAGCCUGAUCCAGCAAUGCCGCGUGAGUGAUGAAGGCCUUAGGGUUGUAAAGCUCUUUACCAGGGAUGAUAAUGACAGUACCUGGAGAAUAAGCUCCGGCUAACUCCGUG